GGCGAACGCUGGCGGCGUGCUUAACACAUGCAAGUCGAACGGAAAGGCCCGGCUUGCAGGGUACUCAAGUGGCAAACGGGUGAGUAACCCGUGGGUGAUCUGCCCUGCACUUCGGGAUAAGCCUGGGAAACUGGGUCUAUUACCGGAUAGGGGCCAUUUUUGGUGUGAUGGUUGGAAGGUUUUUUCGGUGUAGGAUGAGCUCGCGGCCUAUCAGCUUGUUGGUGGGGUAAUGGCCUACCAAGGCGGCGACGGGUAGCCGGCCUGAGAGGGUGGACGGCCACAUUGGGACUGAGAUACGGCCCAGACUCCUACGGGAGGCAGCAGUGGGGAAUAUUGCACAAUGGGCGCAAGCCUGAUGCAGCGACGCCGCGUGGGGGAUGACGGCCUUCGGGUUGUAAACUCCUUUCGCUAGGGACGAAGCUUUUUGUGACGGUACCUAGAUAAGAAGCACCGGCUAACUACGUG
Molecule: ribosomal RNA, 465 nt
Filed under: uncultured bacterium
Lineage: Bacteria
Description: partial 16S ribosomal RNA
Rfam family: Bacterial small subunit ribosomal RNA
Source: RNAcentral